This 505-nucleotide ribosomal RNA is filed under the name uncultured bacterium. Its description in RNAcentral is "partial 16S ribosomal RNA". It matches the Rfam family "Bacterial small subunit ribosomal RNA", at positions 29 to 522 of the family's 1533-position model. The record is from RNAcentral.
AGUGAACGCUGGCGGUAGGCCUAACACAUGCAAGUCGAACGGCAGCACAGGAGAGCUUGCUCUCUGGGUGGCAAGUGGCGGACGGGUGAGGAAUACAUCGGAAUCUACUCUGUCGUGGGGGAUAACGUAGGGAAACUUACGCUAAUACCGCAUACGACCUACGGGUGAAAGCAGGGGACCUUCGGGCCCUGCGCGAUUGAAUGAGCCGAUGUCGGAUGAGCUAGUUGGCGGGGUAAAGGCCCACCAAGGCGACGAUCCGUAGCUGGGCUGAGAGGAUGAUCAGCCACACUGGAACUGAGACACGGUCCAGACUCCUACGGGAGGCAGCAGUGGGGAAUAUUGGACAAUGGGCGCAAGCCUGAUCCAGCCAUACCGCGUGGGUGAAGAAGGCCUUCGGGUUGUAAAGCCCUUUUGUUGGGAAAGAAAUCCAGCUGGCUAAUACCCGGUUGGGAUGACGGUACCCAAAGAAUAAGCACCGGCUAACUUCGUGCCAGCCGCCGCUGAA